AUGGUGAAGAUCCGGCAAUUUUUGUUGGCUAUUUUGUGGCUUCAGCUAAGCUGUGUAAGUGCCGCCAAAAAUGAAGUGGAGCAGAGUCCUCAGAACCUGACUGCCCAGGAAGGAGAAUUUAUCACAAUCAACUGCAGUUACUCGGUAGGAAUAAGUGCCUUACACUGGCUGCAACAGCAUCCAGGAGGAGGCAUUGUUUCCUUGUUUAUGCUGAGCUCAGGGAAGAAGAAGCAUGGAAGAUUAAUUGCCACAAUAAACAUACAGGAAAAGCACAGCUCCCUGCACAUCACAGCCUCCCAUCCCAGAGACUCUGCCGUCUACAUCUGUGCUGUCAGA
Homo sapiens (human) is the source of this 336-nucleotide non-coding RNA. NCBI's taxonomy places the organism in Eukaryota, Metazoa, Chordata, Mammalia, Primates, Hominidae. The record is from the annotation of a RefSeq genome assembly.